GUCUACAGCCAUGCCACCUUGAAUAAGCCCAAUCCCGUCUGAUUUUGGAAGCUAUGCAAGGUUGGACCUGGUUAGUACUUGGAUGGGAGACCACGUAGGAAGACCAGGUGCUGUAAGUG
Molecule: ribosomal RNA, 119 nt
Filed under: Pteropus alecto (black flying fox)
Lineage: Eukaryota; Metazoa; Chordata; Mammalia; Chiroptera; Pteropodidae
Source: RNAcentral